RNAcentral lists this microRNA precursor (98 nucleotides) under Thalictrum thalictroides. The record is from RNAcentral. Lineage: Eukaryota; Viridiplantae; Streptophyta; Magnoliopsida; Ranunculales; Ranunculaceae.
AUGUAAAUGUGAUAUUGGCACGGCUCAAUCAGAUUUAAAGGACCCAAUCUUUGAGAGCUUUCAUUUGAUUGAGCCAUUCCAACACCUCAUUAUAUUCU